RNAcentral lists this ribosomal RNA (253 nucleotides) under uncultured bacterium. RNAcentral describes it as "partial 16S ribosomal RNA". It matches the Rfam family "Bacterial small subunit ribosomal RNA", at positions 524 to 776 of the family's 1533-position model. The record is from RNAcentral.
UACAGAGGUGGCAAGCGUUGUUCGGAAUUACUGGGCGUAAAGCGUGCGUAGGUGGUUCGUUAAGUCUGAUGUGAAAGCCCUGGGCUCAACCUGGGAAUGGCAUUGGAAACUGGCGACCUAGAGUGCGGUAGAGGGUAGUGGAAUUCCCGGUGUAGCAGUGAAAUGCGUAGAGAUCGGGAGGAACAUCUGUGGCGAAGGCGACUGCCUGGACCAGCACUGACACUGAGGCACGAAAGCGUGGGGAGCAAACAGG